This 478-nucleotide ribosomal RNA is filed under the name uncultured bacterium. RNAcentral describes it as "bacterial SSU rRNA". It matches the Rfam family "Bacterial small subunit ribosomal RNA", at positions 62 to 571 of the family's 1533-position model. The record is from RNAcentral.
UCGAACGAGAAAGUGGAGCAAUCCAUGAGUAAAGUGGCGACCGGGUGAGUAACACGUGACUAACCUACCUCCGAGUGGGGAAUAACUCCGGGAAACCGGGGCUAAUACCGCAUAACAACGCAAGAUCAAAGCAGCAAUGUGCUUGGAGAGGGGGUCGCGGCUGAUUAGCUCGUUGGCGGGGUAACGGCCCACCAAGGCGAAGAUCGGUAUCCGGCCUGAGAGGGCGCACGGACACACUGGAACUGAAACACGGUCCAGACUCCUACGGGAGGCAGCAGUGGGGAAUUUUGCGCAAUGGGGGAAACCCUGACGCAGCAACGCCGCGUGGAGGAUGAAGCCCUUUGGGGCGUAAACUCCUUUCGACUCGGACGAUUAAUGACGGUACGAGUGGAAGAAGCACCGGCUAACUCUGUGCCAGCAGCCGCGGUAAUACAGAGGGUGCGAGCGUUGUUCGGAAUUAUUGGGCGUAAAGGGCGCG